Molecule: small nucleolar RNA, 203 nt
Organism: Oryctolagus cuniculus (rabbit)
Lineage: Eukaryota; Metazoa; Chordata; Mammalia; Lagomorpha; Leporidae
Gene: SNORA73
Rfam family: Small nucleolar RNA SNORA73 family
About the family: U17 (SNORA73A and SNORA73B) also known as E1 belongs to the H/ACA class of small nucleolar RNAs (snoRNAs).
Source: Ensembl
CCAACGUGGACACCCCGGGAGGUCACGCUCCCCGGGCUCUGUCCAGGUGGCAUAGGGGAGCACAGGGCUCUGCCCAAUGAUGUACAGUCCCUUCCCACGCCAUUGGAGAGGAGGCGGGCCUCGAGUCUGCGCCUGCAUAUUCCUACAGCUUCCCAGAGUCCUGUGGACAAUGACUGGGGAGACAAACCAUGCAGGAAACAGUC